AAGAGGAAGGCGUGCCGCGCAGAUGACGUCAUCCGACAUGUCUCGUGCCACAUUCCCCAAACUGCGCGAGGGCAGUGAGAGAGAGACCGUUCUCGGUUUAAUUUCUCCACAGUUCUCGUUUUGUUCUCUGCCGCUGCAUAGGACCCUACAGCUGGUUUUGUUUCUUGGCUUCCUCCAGUCGUCUGCAGAAAGUGUGUUACUGUGAAGAGUUCCCUGGACGGCAGCUAAGGAAAGCAGCCUGGUCAGCUGGUCAAGCCUGUUGAUUUCUUCUGGCACUAGAUCAGGUGACUUUCACAGGAAUUUUCUUCUGAAAACCACUGUGUCGCUGCCCAAAUCAUGUUGCUAUGCCUGAAUGAAUACGCCUACUGGAUCUCAUAUCCGUAAUCAUAAAUUGCCUGGAGAGCUUGAAGUCUCACGUCUGCUGUAUUUUCACUGGCUGCAUGGCUGUACUCCGUUUACAUCCUUCUUUUUCCCCAAUACCCUGCAUUAGAGUCUCAGAACAUGUGCUUUGGGGGACUUUUU
Molecule: long non-coding RNA, 522 nt
Organism: Sinocyclocheilus anshuiensis
Lineage: Eukaryota; Metazoa; Chordata; Actinopteri; Cypriniformes; Cyprinidae
Exons: 3
Source: RefSeq, a predicted model, not a curated record